Molecule: non-coding RNA, 72 nt
Organism: Calypte anna (Anna's hummingbird)
Lineage: Eukaryota; Metazoa; Chordata; Aves; Apodiformes; Trochilidae
Source: Rfam
GGGGGUGUAGCUCAGGGGCAGAGCAUUUGACUGCAGAUCAAGAGGUCCCCGGUUCAAAUCCGGGCGCCCCCU